RNAcentral lists this ribosomal RNA (500 nucleotides) under uncultured marine picoplankton. Its description in RNAcentral is "SSU rRNA". It matches the Rfam family "Eukaryotic small subunit ribosomal RNA", at positions 594 to 1103 of the family's 1831-position model. The record is from RNAcentral.
CUAGCGUAUAUUUAAGUUGUUGCAGCUAAAAAGUCUCGUAGUUGGAUUUCGGUUAAGAGCGACCGGUCCGCCGUUUGGUGUGCACUGGUUGGUUUUAACUUCCUGUAGAGGACGUGCUCUGGGCUUAACGGUCUGGACUCGGAGUCUACGUGGUUACUUUGAAAAAAUUAGAGUGUUCAAAGCGGGCUUACGCUUGAAUAUUUCAGCAUGGAAUAACACUAUAGGACUCCUGUCCUAUUUCGUUGGUCUCGGGACGGGAGUAAUGAUUAAGAGGAACAGUUGGGGGCAUUCGUAUUUCAUUGUCAGAGGUGAAAUUCUUGGAUUUAUGAAAGACGAACUUCUGCGAAAGCAUUUGCCAAGGAUGUUUUCAUUAAUCAAGAACGAAAGUUGGGGGCUCGAAGAUGAUUAGAUACCAUCCUAGUCUCAACCAUAAACGAUGCCGACUAGGGAUUGGCGGAUGUUAAUUGAUGACUCCGCCAGCACCUUAUGAGAAAUCAAAG